GACGAACGCUGGCGGCGUGCUUAACACAUGCAAGUCGAACGGAAAGGCCCUGCUUUUGUGGGGUGCUCGAUUGGCGAACGGGUGCGUAACACGUGAGUAACCUGCCCUUGACUUUGGGAUAACUUCAGGAAACUGGGGCUAAUACCGGAUAGGAGCUCAUGCUGCAUGGUGGGGGUUGGAAAGUUUCGGCGGUUGGGGAUGGACUCGCGGCUUAUCAGCUUGUUGGUGGGGUAGUGGCUUACCAAGGCUUUGACGGAUCGCCGGCCUGAGAGGGUGACCGGCCACAUUGGUACUGAGAUACGGCCCAGACUGCUACGGGAGGCAGCAGUGGGGAAUAUUGCACAAUGGGCGGAAGCCGGAUGCAGCAACGCCGCGUGCGGGAUGACGGUCUUCGGGUUGUAAACCGCUUUCGCCUGUGACGAAGCGUGAGUGACGGUAAUGUGUAAAGAAGCACCGGCUAACUACGUG
RNAcentral lists this ribosomal RNA (468 nucleotides) under uncultured bacterium. RNAcentral's name for it is "partial 16S ribosomal RNA". It matches the Rfam family "Bacterial small subunit ribosomal RNA", at positions 28 to 507 of the family's 1533-position model. The record is from RNAcentral.